Molecule: ribosomal RNA, 253 nt
Filed under: uncultured bacterium
Lineage: Bacteria
Description: partial 16S ribosomal RNA
Rfam family: Bacterial small subunit ribosomal RNA
Source: RNAcentral
UACAGAGGUCCCGAGCGUUGUUCGGAUUCAUUGGGCGUAAAGGGUGCGUAGGUGGCAGGGUAAGUCGGAUGUGAAAGCUCGGAGCUCAACUCCGAAAUGGCAUUGGAAACUACCCAGCUCGAGGGUUGGAGGGGGGACUGGAAUGCUUGGUGUAGCAGUGAAAUGCGUAGAUAUCAAGCGGAACACCAGUGGCGAAGGCGAGUCCCUGGACAACUCCUGACACUGAGGCACGAAAGCUAGGGGAGCAAACAGG